Molecule: ribosomal RNA, 480 nt
Filed under: uncultured bacterium
Lineage: Bacteria
Description: partial 16S ribosomal RNA
Rfam family: Bacterial small subunit ribosomal RNA
Source: RNAcentral
GACGAACGCUGGCGGCGUGCUUAACACAUGCAAGUCGAACGAUGAAGAAAAGAAUUGAAGCUUCGGCAGAAAUUCAUUUCGGAUUAGUGGCAGACGGGUGAGUAUCGCGUGAGCAACCUACCUCUUACAAAGGGAUAGCCUCGGGAAACCGGGAUUAAUACCAUAUAACAUUGCGACGAAGCAUUUCGAUGCAAUCAAAGCUACGGCGGUAAGAGAUGGGCUCGCGUCCCAUUAACCAGAUGGUGAGGUAACGGCUCACCAUAGUAACGAUGGGUAACCGGCCUGAGAGGGUGAACGGUCACACUGGAACUGAGACACGGUCCAGACUCCUACGGGAGGCAGCAGUGGGGAAUAUUGCACAAUGGAGGGAACUCUGAUGCAGCGACGCCGCGUGAGUGAUGAAGGAAUUCGUUUCGUAAAACUCUGUUCUAUGGGAAGAAAAGGACUGUACCAUAGGAGAAAGCUCCGGCUAAAUACGUG